This 952-nucleotide long non-coding RNA is filed under the name Cricetulus griseus (Chinese hamster). RNAcentral's name for it is "lncRNA (ENSCGRG00015034773.1)". The record is from RNAcentral. Lineage: Eukaryota; Metazoa; Chordata; Mammalia; Rodentia; Cricetidae.
GACUAACAAAGCAGAGUGGGUGUCUACUUUCCAAAUGAGCCAGAAAGCUCUAGCUGCCUGGGGUAAAAGGGCUAGAGGUCUGCUGAAGUUCUCCCCAGUGGUUUCCUAGAGAAAGGUGAGUAACCGGGAAUGCCUUAGGCAACGACUGAAAACAACUGAGUCAUCUGUAGUCAAGACUGUCAGCUAACCAGAUUUGGCUCGGACGAGUUUGCGUUCAUCUGUCCACUCUCCACGCGGCCUUCCAUCUUAGGAUUUGCCACUUCUUUAGCACCGCUCCCCUGACACCAGUGAUCUGGGUUACCUCACUCAGGAUGAUCUUUUCUGGUUCCAUCCAUUUUCCAGCAAAUUUCAUGAUGCCAUUGUUUUUAACAGCUGAGUAACAAUGUGUACUACAUACAUGCAAGUGUCUGUGGAAGCCAGAAAGCAUCUGAUACCCUAGACCUGGAGUUACUCAUGGUGUGAGCCAGCCCCUGACAGGGAUUCUGAGAACUGCUCCUUCACAAGACAGGCCUGGAGACCAAGAUGAUGUUACUUCUGUCUGCUGGGUCAGGCCUGAAACUUCCCAACCAUGACCUUGACUGUGUUUCUUGGAGGGGAGCACUCUACCAGGGCUGUUCACACACAGCAGUUCUAGAACAGAUGGUCUCUGGACUCCUUCUAUGACCACUGUCAGAUCUUCUGUCAAACUGCAGCAUCCAGAUGUGAGUACGGAACACUGCUUAUGUCCUGUUUAGCAUUGCUGUGUUCUGGCCCAGACUAGUCUUCCUUUCUCAUCUCUGGAUCUGUUUCAAGACCACUGGAGUCCAUAUGCCAGCCAUCAACUGUAGUCCAAGAGCUUUUCGAAAAGCUGUCCACUGCCUAAUUUUAAAAUAUCAGCCUGUAUAUUUUGCUAUUUUCUUUGUAACUAUUGCCAAUAACUUACGACCACUGGUCUUGCUAUGAAAAAUCCUCC